UACGAGUGGUGCAAGCGUUAUUCGGACUUACUGGGCGUAAAGGGUGCGUAGGUGGCAUAUUAAGUCAACUGUUAAAUUCCCCGGCUUAACUGGGGGUCAGCGGUAGAAACUGAUAUGCUAGAGGUUGGAAGAGAGAAGUGGAAUUCUUGGAGUAGCGGUAAAAUGCGUAGAUCUCAAGAGGAACACCGAUGGCGAAGGCAGCUUCUUGGUCCAUACCUGACACUGAGGCACGAAAGCGUGGGGAGCAAACAGG
This 253-nucleotide ribosomal RNA is filed under the name uncultured bacterium. RNAcentral's name for it is "partial 16S ribosomal RNA". It matches the Rfam family "Bacterial small subunit ribosomal RNA", at positions 524 to 776 of the family's 1533-position model. The record is from RNAcentral.